RNAcentral lists this ribosomal RNA (346 nucleotides) under uncultured eukaryote. RNAcentral's name for it is "LSU rRNA". It matches the Rfam family "Bacterial large subunit ribosomal RNA", at positions 2133 to 2478 of the family's 2925-position model. The record is from RNAcentral.
UUCGCGCAGCUUAGGUGGGAGACGUUGAACCUUUUCUUCCGGGAAAGGGGGAGUCAUCAGUGAGAUACCACUCUUGGUAAGCUAGAGCGCUCAUUUUUAACCGUUAUCCGGUAAAAAGACAGUUUCAGGCGGGCAGUUUGACUGGGGCAGUCACCUCCCAAAAGGUAAUGGAGGUGUACAAAGGUUCUCUCAGGCUGGACGGAAAUCAGCCAUAGAGUGUAAAAGCAUAAGAGAGCUUGACUGCGAGACGGACAUGUCAAGCAGAGACGAAAGUCGGUUUUAGUGAUCCGACGGUGCUGAGUGGAAAGGCCGUCGCUCAACGGAUAAAAGUUACUCUAGGGAUAAC